ACUCAAAGGAAUUGACGGGGGCCCGCACAAGCGGAGGAACAUGUGGUUUAAUUCGAUGAUACGCGAGGAACCUUACCCGGGCUUGAAAUGCAACCGACCGACUAUGAAAGUAGUCUUCCAGCAAUGGCGGUUGUGUAGGUGCUGCAUGGUUGUCGUCAGCUCGUGCCGUGAGGUGUCGGCUUAAGUGCCAUAACGAGCGCAACCCUUGCCGUUAGUUACUAACAGGUUAUGCUGAGGACUCUAGCGGGACUGCCAUCGUAAGAUGCGAGGAAGGUGGGGAUGACGUCAAAUCAGCACGGCCCUUAUGUCCGGGGCGACACACGUGUUACAAUGGGUGGUACAGCGGGCGGCUACCGGGCGACCGGAUGCCAAUCUCUUAAAUCCACUCUCAGUUCGGAUCGGAGUCUGCAACUCGACUCCGUGAAGCUGGAUUCGCUAGUAAUCGCGCAUCAGCCACGGCGCGGUGAAUACGUUCCCGGGCCUUGUACACACCGCCCGU
RNAcentral lists this ribosomal RNA (499 nucleotides) under uncultured bacterium. Its description in RNAcentral is "bacterial SSU rRNA". It matches the Rfam family "Bacterial small subunit ribosomal RNA", at positions 899 to 1397 of the family's 1533-position model. The record is from RNAcentral.